GUUACAAGCCAGGCUAUCGCUCCGGGUAAACCGGGGAGGAAAGUCCGGACAGCACAGAGCAAUGCACCGGUGAAGAGCCGGGUAAUGCGCAAGCAUUAACAGACAGUGCCACAGAAAAUGACUGCUCCCCCUCUCUACUUGUGGAGAGGGUUGGGGUGAGGGUGAAAAUGUGAGGUAAGAGCUCACGGCUUUUGAUGGUAACAUCAUUAGCGGGUAAACCUUGCAUGCUGAAAUGCCACAUAUAGUAUCGCCCGAGGACGGCUCGUCCGAGUUCCGGCUUGCCGGAACGUGAUACAGGGUAGGCAGCUUGAGCCCGGUGAGUAAUUACCGGGACAGAUAAAUGAUAGCCCGCGACAGAAUCCGGCUUACCGGCUUGUAGCUUUU
RNAcentral lists this RNase P RNA (384 nucleotides) under Chitinophagaceae bacterium. RNAcentral's name for it is "RNase P RNA component class A". It matches the Rfam family "Bacterial RNase P class A". From Rfam's summary of the family: Ribonuclease P (RNase P) is a ubiquitous endoribonuclease, found in archaea, bacteria and eukarya as well as chloroplasts and mitochondria. Its best characterised activity is the generation of mature 5'-ends of tRNAs by cleaving the 5'-leader elements of precursor-tRNAs. The record is from RNAcentral. Lineage: Bacteria; Pseudomonadati; Bacteroidota; Chitinophagia; Chitinophagales; Chitinophagaceae.